Molecule: ribosomal RNA, 403 nt
Filed under: uncultured Acetobacterium sp.
Lineage: Bacteria; Bacillati; Bacillota; Clostridia; Eubacteriales; Eubacteriaceae
Description: bacterial SSU rRNA
Rfam family: Bacterial small subunit ribosomal RNA
Source: RNAcentral
GGGGAAUAUUGCGCAAUGGGGGAAACCCUGACGCAGCAAUACCGCGUGAGUGAAGAAGGUUUUCGGAUCGUAAAGCUCUGUUAUUGGGGAAGAAAAAAAGACGGUACCCAAGAAGAAAGUCCCGGCUAACUACGUGCCAGCAGCCGCGGUCAUACGUAGGGGACAAGCGUUGUCCGGAUUUACUGGGCGUAAAGGGCACGCAGGCGGUUUUUUAAGUCAGAUGUGAAAGGUACCGGCUCAACCGGUGACAUGCAUUUGAAACUGAAAGACUUGAGUGCAGGAGAGGAAACUGGAAUUCCUAGUGUAGCGAUGAAAUGCGUAGAUAUUAGGAGGAACACCAGUAGCGAAGGCGGCUUUCUGGACUGUAACUGACACUGAGGCACGAAAGCGUGAGGAGCAAACA